RNAcentral lists this ribosomal RNA (368 nucleotides) under uncultured bacterium. RNAcentral's name for it is "bacterial SSU rRNA". It matches the Rfam family "Bacterial small subunit ribosomal RNA", at positions 28 to 390 of the family's 1533-position model. The record is from RNAcentral.
GAUGAACGCUAGCGGGAGGCCUAAUACAUGCAAGUCGAGCGGUAGAGUGACUUCGGUUGCUUGAGAGCGGCGAACGGGUGAGUAACGCGUACACAAUCUACCUUUAAGAGGGGAAUAGCCCUGGGAAACUGGGAUUAAUGCCCCAUGGCAUCACGAAGUGGCAUCGCUUUGUUGAUUAAAGCUGAGGUGCUUAGAGAUGAGUGUGCGUCUGAUUAGCUAGUUGGUGCGGUAACGGCGCACCAAGGCGACGAUCAGUAGGGGGCGUGAGAGCGUGGACCCCCACCACGGGUACGUGAGACACGGACCCGACUCCUACGGGAGGCAGCAGUAAGGAAUAUUGGUCGAAUAGGAGGGAAACUACUGAACCA